This 336-nucleotide ribosomal RNA is filed under the name uncultured bacterium. Its description in RNAcentral is "bacterial SSU rRNA". It matches the Rfam family "Bacterial small subunit ribosomal RNA", at positions 18 to 344 of the family's 1533-position model. The record is from RNAcentral.
CCUGGCUCAGGACGAACGCUGGCGGCGUGCCUAAUACAUGCAAGUAGCACGCUGAAGCUUGGUGCUUGCACCGAGCGGAUGAGUUGCGAACGGGUGAGUAACGCGUAGGUAACCUGCCUGGUAGCGGGGGAUAACUAUUGGAAACGAUAGCGAAUACCGCAUAACAGUAGAUACCGCAUGAUAUGUGCUUAAAAGGUGCAGUUGCACCACUACCAGAUGGACCUGCGUUGUAUUAGCUAGUUGGUGAGGUAACGGCUCACCAAGGCGACGAUACAUAGCCGACCUGAGAGGGUGAUCGGCCAGACUGGGACUGAGACACGGCCCAGACUCCUACGG